UGAUGACGAGACGCUAAGGCGUUGAAGCAGUGUAUGUCAGACUUCCAAGAAAAGCUCGCAAUGUCACAAAUAAAAGAUGCCUGUACCAUAACCGACACAGGUGGGUAGGUAGAGUAUACUAAGGGGCGCGAGAUAACUCUCUCUAAGGAACUCGGCAAAAUGACUCCGUAACUUCGGGAGAAGGAGUGCCUUAUUUAUAAGGUUGCAAUAACAAGAUCCAAGCAACUGUUUAUCAAAAACACAGGUCUCCGCUAAGUCGUAAGACGAUGUAUGGGGGCUGACGCCUGCCCAGUGCCAGAAGGUUAAAGAAGUUGGUUAGUGUAUGCGAGGCUGAUGACUGAAGCCCUGGUGAACGGCGGCCGUAACGAUAACGGUCCUAAGGUAGCGAAAUUCCUUGUCGGGUAAGUUCCGACCCGCACGAGAGGCGUAAUGAUUUGGAUACUGUCUCGGAGAGAGGCUCGGUGAAAUAGACUUGUCUGUGAAGAUGCGGACUACCUGCACCAGGACAGAAAGACCCUAUGAAGCUUUACUGUAACUUGAAAUUGGAAUUGGACUUUGCUUGCGCAGUAUAGGUGGGAAGCGUUGAAAAUAUUCUUGCGGGAGUAUUGGAGCUAUCAGUGAGAUACCACUCUUGUAAUGUUAGAUUUCUAACUUUGAACCAUAAUCUGGUCAAAGAACAGUUUCAGGUGGGCAGUUUGACUGGGGCGGUCGCCUCCCAAAUGGUAACGGAGGCGUACAAAGGUUUCCUCUGAACGGAUAGAAAUCGUAUCUAGAGUGUAAAGGCAUAAGGAAGCUUGACUGUGAGACCUACAAGUCGAGCAGGGACGAAAGUCGGUCUUAGUGAUCUGACGGUACUGAGUGGAAAGGCCGUCACUCAACGGAUAAAAGUUACUCUAAGGAUAACAGGCUGAUCUCCCCCAAGAGUUCACAUCGACGGGGAGGUUUGGCACCUCGAUGUCGGCUCAUCGCAUCCUGGGGCGGUAGUACGUCCCAAGGGUUGGGCUGUUCGCCCAUGAAAGCGGUACGCGAGCUGGGUUCAGAACGUCGUGAGACAGUUCGGUCCAUAUCCGGUGUAGGCGCUAGAAUAUUGAGAGGAGCCUUCUUUAGUACGAGAGGACCGAGAAGGACACACCGCUGGUGUACCAGUUAUCGUGCCAACGGUAAACGCUGGGUAGCUAUGUGUGGAGUGGAUAACCGCUGAAAGCAUCUAAGUGGGAAGCCCACCUCGAGAUGAGUA
RNAcentral lists this ribosomal RNA (1237 nucleotides) under metagenome. RNAcentral's name for it is "bacterial LSU rRNA". It matches the Rfam family "Bacterial large subunit ribosomal RNA", at positions 1564 to 2810 of the family's 2925-position model. The record is from RNAcentral.